UACGUAGGUGGCGAGCGUUAUCCGGAAUUAUUGGGCGUAAAGAGUGAGCAGGCGGCCGUUUAAGUCUGAAGUCAAAUGCAGUGGCUUAACCAUUGUUCGCUUCGGAAACUGGAUGGCUAGAGUUCGGGAGAGGUAAAUGGAACUUCAUGUGUAGCGGUAAAAUGCGUAGAUAUAUGAAAGAACACCAGUGGCGAAGGCGAUUUACUAGACCGAUACUGACGCUCAGUCACGAAAGCGUGGGUAGCAAAUA
Molecule: ribosomal RNA, 250 nt
Filed under: uncultured prokaryote
Description: partial 16S ribosomal RNA
Rfam family: Bacterial small subunit ribosomal RNA
Source: RNAcentral